GGAAAAAAGAGUGGCUGUGAACAGUACCUGAAGUAUUCAAUGUUUGUUUGUGUGUGUAUUAAAUGGAAAAAUGUUGUCCUUCAUGGGAUAAACCCCCUUUUGAAUAUGCGAAAAAUGGAUAUUUUGACUGCAUAUUCUUCAGGUGCACUAUACUUUUGAACAGCCACUGUUGCUAAUAAAUCUUUUUUUGAUUAAGCAACUGCUUUAAUUUUUC
Molecule: unclassified non-coding RNA, 214 nt
Filed under: Hevea brasiliensis (rubber tree)
Lineage: Eukaryota; Viridiplantae; Streptophyta; Magnoliopsida; Malpighiales; Euphorbiaceae
Source: RNAcentral